UACGUAGGGUGCGAGCGUUGUCCGGAAUUAUUGGGCGUAAAGGGCUCGUAGGCGGUUUGUCGCGUCGGGAGUGAAAUCCACUGGCUUAACUGGUGGCUUGCUUUCGAUACGGGCAGACUGGAGGUAUGCAGGGGAGAACGGAAUUCCUGGUGUAGCGGUGAAAUGCGCAGAUAUCAGGAGGAACACCAGUGGCGAAGGCGGCUUCCUGGACCGGUUCUGACACUGAGGAGCGAAAGCGUGGGGAGCGAUCCGG
Molecule: ribosomal RNA, 253 nt
Filed under: uncultured bacterium
Lineage: Bacteria
Description: partial 16S ribosomal RNA
Rfam family: Bacterial small subunit ribosomal RNA
Source: RNAcentral